UGGAGCUUCGUCCAAUGGCAGGGCAGCUGUCUGAUGCGCAGCCUAUGUGGGUUCGAUUCCCGCAGCUCCGAUCA
This 74-nucleotide transfer RNA is filed under the name Sarcina sp. DSM 11001. RNAcentral's name for it is "tRNA_Ile_GAT". It matches the Rfam family "tRNA". From Rfam's summary of the family: Transfer RNA (tRNA) molecules are approximately 80 nucleotides in length. Lineage: Bacteria; Bacillati; Bacillota; Clostridia; Eubacteriales; Clostridiaceae. The record is from RNAcentral.